Molecule: long non-coding RNA, 1480 nt
Organism: Calidris pugnax (ruff)
Lineage: Eukaryota; Metazoa; Chordata; Aves; Charadriiformes; Scolopacidae
Exons: 3
Source: RefSeq, a predicted model, not a curated record
CACGUUCCAUUCGGCAUUGGGAAGAGGAUGUGCAUCGGGCGCCGCGUCGCAGAGCUACAGCUUCACUUGGCCCUUUGCUGGCUCAUUCGCAAGUACCAAAUUGUAGCAACUGACAACAAACCAGUAGAAACACUCCAUUCGGGAAUACUGAUUCCCAGCAGGGAGCUUCCCAUUGCGUUUCACAGACGAUAAGCUUGCAGAAAAUAAAUGACAACCCUGCUGCUUCCUUGUCUGAAAAAAUAUACAUCGAUUGGGAAAGCCAAAGCCUAGGGUAACCAGUGGAGAAACUGCAACACGUGUCCCUUGAACAACUGCGGAGCCAGAAAUAGUACCAAGAAAAGCUCCCAUACUGUUUUAUUGGAAAAAUGUGGUUAGUUCAGCUGUACUUAGCAAUGUUAAAAGGAAAGAAAAAUACCAUGCACAUUUAUAUACCUAUGCAAAUAUACUGAUUUAGUGCAGCUGAGGGACUGUACAGGAUAGAGCUUGGUAAUGAGCUGUGGAGUGUUCUGUACAGUUCUUGUUAGUGCACAGGGAAAUUAUUACAGCCUCAAGCUGUUCAACAGGCUGCCUUGGAAAGAGCUGUUUUCCAGUUUGUGGGGAUUGUAGAGGACACCUGAGGGAACGACAGUCACGGCUGAACUGGCCCAGUUGGCUCAGAGUUGAAUCACUCUGAAAAGUCAGUUUAAGGGAAAAGAAACUCGCUUAGUCCUUAUCAAAUUGCUAAUGUCAUUAAUUAAAUUGAGAAGUAAGAUGGCAGUCUGUAAUAAAGCUAAUAACGGGGUUUAAAAAUUAGGAUACUUAAAGAAGUAUAUUUUCCCUGACGCUGCUCACUCCCUUAAUAAAAGGGAAAUAAGGACAAAGGUAGCUAACAGGAUUUAUUUGUCAUGCCUGCACAGUACUUUGAUUUGAACUGUGCGGUUCAAAUCAAUAUACUGUUGCAAUACUGUGCCUGCCACAUACUCUGCUCAUAUCCAUAAAGUUUCAUGCCUUCAACUCCCACACAAGCCAUUUUAUCACACCUUUAUUGUCAAACCUUAGUGGUCUUUUAUUACAUGAAAGGCCUUCUCCAUAAAUGGAAUCAUUGGAAUCCUAUGGGUUCUGCCACUAUUUAAUGAUGGUUAUCCUAACAGGAUAGUUACUUCAUCAUAUGAGUAACAUAAAAUGUAUGUUUCACAGAACCACAGGAAAUAAGGAUCAUAAACAUUUCGAAGAGGUCUAUUUCCUGUGGAGAUUUCAAUACCUGUAUCUAAGGGUUAAAGCUGUCACUGCCCUGCACGCAACACCGUAUGUUAGCUAUUAUGGUCACUAGUCUAUUUGUCCCAUUGAUGCAGUUUCAAGUACAGGUUUAUAUAUACAGCCAUGAAUGGUUAUUUUUAUUUUUUUUACAUUCUGAAAUGAUACAUGUUUUUAGCAUUUGUUAGUCUGUCUCCUGAAUUCUUUUUUAUUUGUUUUCCUCUGCUGUUAUAUUCAGACAUGUACA